This 1196-nucleotide long non-coding RNA is filed under the name Coturnix japonica (Japanese quail). RNAcentral describes it as "lncRNA (ENSCJPG00005012330.1)". The record is from RNAcentral. Lineage: Eukaryota; Metazoa; Chordata; Aves; Galliformes; Phasianidae.
GAAUCAGAUACCUUGUAAUAAUACUGCUAUUAUCAGCUUGAUUGGCUGCCUUUGAUACUGUCACAGAAGCAUACAGGUUAUCUCUAAUCUGAUUUAUCUUGUCCAGAAAAUAAAUUGACUUCCUUAGAGUAGGAAGGCCUCAGAGUCAAGUCACCUACACACCUCAGCAGGCAGCAAUAGGGCCUUGUCCUUCGAGUGAGAAAUCAAACUCCAGCAAAGCUGUUCCUUCUCUCAGUUCUUCCCACAGGCAGCAAAAGAACGAUGGGAGUGAGGAGAGGUGAGUUCAAGUUGAGCACACAAAAAAAACCCACAUAACUAAGCAUGGUGAGUAUUUUUAAUUAUCUUAAGUGUCGUGCUAUUUUUUUAUUUUUUUUUUUAAUUCAAGUACAAAAGUGAAAUGAUCUGAAAAAUUACCUGCAUCUCUUAGCUCUGCCCCUCCAAAAAGCUUACAGGAACUGUAUCAAGAAACAGAUUGUUUCAGUUGAUUAAGUCACAUUUUCAGGGCAGAAAGAAAUUUUAAAAGACAGGCAGACUUAAGUGAACUUUAAUCUUCUUCUGAGUGGUUUCAUCAUUUUCAUUUCAGACAUUUCUGCUGGUACUCACGGACACGGCCUUUUCUUCCACAACAGGUUUCACAGCAGCAGUGAAAGAGGCCGCUCUGUGACAUGGGGCAUUAGAGGGACACGUGAAUUCCAGUGAAUGCUGUGUACUGACUCAUGACAGCUGCACAGCCUUACCUCAUUUGACUUGCACAGCACAGCUCACAGGACUACCAACAACACCUUGCUGAAAUGCAGAUGCAAGUGAAUAGGAGACAGCCAACAAUCAGAAUUAUUUCAAGAAAAUCUUGCAAUAAUGCAUCUGCUUCAGCUUUUGCCUUUCUGGUAAAUAUCAAGGCCUUAUUAUAAAUAGAGACAUUUUGGGUAGAAGGCUGAAAAGCUACAGUGCAACAGUGCCAUCCCCUGCCUGAAAAAAUCAUCGUCUCUCCUCUCAAAAGAAGACAAGGAUUGAAAUACUCCACCAAUGCCAGCUGUAUCUAGGUGGGAGGUUACCUGAAAACAUCAACGUAAGUGCAGCGUGAGCCACAUUGCAGUAAUACUGGUGGGGAAUUGCAUUGUACAAUCUAAAUUCAGAAGAGUUCCUUUAUAGUUAGCACCACGAAGCUUAUGUAAAAAUAAACUGCUUGAGAUUUCACA